AUCUUUAUGAAUAGGAAGCUUGUGUAAAGGUUUAGGAAACUGUACUUGUGAGUACAGCCAUACUUCUAUCCUCUCCUGAGGAUACAAAAUGUCUGUUACAGUUCAAAACCAGCUCAGUGAAAUGGUACAUUUUUGGCAGGACAUUCAUGAUGCAACUGAAGUCAUAUAGCUUGCUGAGGUAAUAAAGCAACCAUGACUCCCUACAGUUUUAGGUAUUGUUACCUAAAACUGUACAAGUUACUAACUGCUAACAAAUUCACAUCAACAGUAAUUAAUAUGAGUUUGCAGAAGUGCAAACGAGACCUCAAAAUUCCAGUUUAUGGAAAACCAGAAAGCAUGUGACAGAGCUGAGACUAGACUCCAGGUGUUCAGUGUUACUGUGCCAUUCACUCCCUGCUCCAGGCCCGUCAUGUUUUAUGGGCUGGUUAUGUGUGAUUGCACUUCAGAAAGGGUCAAGACCUGUAGUAAGCUCAUUAUCUCCAGUAUGGACUAUGAAGCCACAGUCCUUGUCAGGAGGGAAUGUCUGGAGCUGGCUGCGAUGUUGUGUCUCUGUUGGAAUAAACAAGUGAUAACAGUAGAUCUAAACAUAAAACUUAAAAUGGAACUGAAACAUCCUAGACAAGAAGUAAUAAAUCAGCUUGCUUAUACUGCUGUGCCAUUUGCUCGUGCAGCAUUUCAAAGCAGACUGUCAGUGUUGCACACAUCUAGAAGCGACAGUGCUCAGCCCAUGGGUGUGUAAGAUGGAGGACUGCACUGCAGUAACUGCAGCAGCCUACAGGGAGGGAUAACAUGGAACUAACAUGCUGCCUUCUCUUUUUUGCUCCAGGUGCUGUGUUUAAAACUGAUGUAAAAUGGAGGAAAACAACCCAGAAACACUAUUGUCUUAGACUUCUGUUGUAUAUCAGACCAACAUCUGCCAUUUGAUUAACUUUGCUCUGGAAGAUUGUGGCCCUGCAAGGAAAUAGGAUGGGAAUUUGCAUCCCAAGCUCUCACUAGAUUCUUGGCAGAGACUGGAGCCCAAAAUUUAUCUCCUUUCCAUAACAGUGGCAAGUACAAAAAUGCGAUGCCAUCGCUAAAGUCCUAGAAGUCUUGAGCCCAGCAAGAGUUACUACCCUUCUGAUGAUUGUGCCAGUGGUCAUCCAAGCGCUUGGCAUCCAGUUCAUUCUGAUUCUCCACUCGCCUCUGCAGCAGCUUCUUUAAGACUUCCAGUCGAGCCUCCUGCAAUCUGCAAGGAAAGAAAAGGCCAGUUUUGGAAGACCAUGAGGUAGACCUCAUUAAGGCAGUCUGCAAGAGAAUGGGUAAAAAUGAGUCCUUUGAAAGCUACACAUCAGGAUUGCUGUUUGAUGCCACAACCACUUUAUACUCCAGUCUUACUCUUCUCAACAUGCAAGGCAGCUAAAGACAAGAAACAGCAGCUCUCAUAUCAUGCCACUAAGGUAAGUCAUUUCCUUAAGAUAUAUAUAUAUAUAAGGCAAGUCCUGAAGAUCAUGCUUCUCUUAAGACCAUUUUUGUCAGCUUGUAAGAAUCCUGACCUCAGAUGUAUGGGAUUGGGAUUGUGGGUGCUAGAGUUGGUUGCUGAUGCCUAAUUUUAAAUACAGAGGUGUAUUUACAGGGGGCAAUACAUAACAUCGUUUGACAGCCGGGAUCAAAACAGAGGACUGCGUGCUGAGAUCAGUUGUCUUCAAAGACUGCAUCUAAGCCCUGCAAGCUGUGCUGUGAAACUCGGGGAGGCACAGUAUGGUUACCUGUGACAGCAAAGCCUAUAGAGAGAUGUUUCAUUCACCUCCCCUGAGGUACAGUUUACUGCCAAGGUAAAGUCCCAGUGUUUUCAAUCAUAUCACAUAACAAAAGAGAGGGGAAUGUUUUCAGGUGCAGGGUGGUAACCUGAGAUACUUGCUCAGCACUAAUCAAUCUAUUAUUGUGAAGUUGUGUUUGUAAUUCAAAGGAGAUAUUAUCAUUGAGCUGAUGGCCAGUUCCACUAGCUGACUCCUUAUGUAUCAGACUGUUGCUCCAUCCAGAUGGAUCUGUGUUUCAUUAAGCACAGGUGGGCACUUAUUCUUAUGAUCUAACUUUAUUAGCAUAAGCCGUUCAUCCUGUUAUGGUGUAGUUAUAGGCACAAUGGGAACCCAGCGAAAUAGCCCCUUUUAUUCCACAGACCGUGCCUCUUGCACGUCCUUGACUUAUAUUUGCUGACCUUGCUGAAAUAAAUGAGCAUUUAUUCCUGGUAACCUUGCAGAGGCAAUGCAACUACUGAGAAGACAGCUGGGAAAUAUUCUAUCUUCUGUAUCAGCAACACUGUCAGUCAGCGCAGCUUGAAAGAGAGGGGAUAUGUUUCUCUUUCUUUGAUAAUUGCAAGACAUUUUGAAAAUACGCGUUGUUGAAAUGUAAAUCAACUUUAAAGCAGCGCAGGUGUCAACGAGACACUGAGGUUUUUGUGUGCUGGGGACAGUUUGAAAUGCUGAAAUAAUGAUUUUUUAAAGGGCUCCAAAAUUCUUAUUUUAUUGUGGAAAUGAGAAGAAUAUGCUUUUGAAACCAAACAAAACCAGGUGUGAAACCCACUGUAUCACUCUUAAACAUCUUUGAUUACUGUCUGGCAUGUGGCAGAACUCAGGUACCAGUAAACCCAGAGCAUGCAUCAUCUGAAAAGCCCAUGGUCUAAAGUUAGCUUGUUAAUGCACCAAAAACCUCUGAGAAUAACUACCUAAGCUGAUGACUGCAGUACUGAACACAGCUACAAGAGGACUCCAAAAAAUACAGCGUGGCAAAACACAUAAAUGUUUGGGUUUUUUCCUUUAAUAUUUGCUGAAUCAGAAGCCCAAAUUGUAAUGCCAGGAGAGAGUUCAACUAAAAAACCCCUGCACUAAAAAUGUGGUGUCCUGGUUCAGGCCCCAGGAACCCUUGAAUGAGCAACAAAAGCAAACUAACAAGCUGCAACUAUAUGGGACUAAAAGAAAAUAGUUCCUGCUGAAGUAACACACACGAGUCACUGAAGUCUUCAUAACUUAUCUGAUCUGUAAGAGAUUGAAAUAACUCUCUUCUCUUUCACAGCAACCGCUGCAAAGCAGAUAGCACAGGGAUGAAGGAAUGUGCAACAUCCACCGUGUAAGAAACAGAUGGGCAACCAUACUCCACAACAGCUGCAAUCUCUUAAUUUCAAGGGAAAAAUAAGCAGGAGCAAAUUGCAGUCAUCUCCACUUCAGUGUGCAAGGGGUUUUGUUGGUUUUGUUUGUAUGCUUGUUUAAAUUAUCCAACCAUAGAACACUUACGCAGCAAGCUGCUGAAGAGCCUCCAGGCGCUGUUGAGACCCCCCUCUCCAUCUUCGGUCAAUAAAUGGAAGCAAUGGAUCUUUGCUCUCCAAGAACAGACUGUAGCCUGGGAAAUGGAUCAAGCUAUUGAACAUGCUUCUGAACCUUGGCGCAUUUACCUAAUGUUUAUGUGGACACAAAGAAGAGAGGCAGUGAUUUAGCAAUUUCAAAUAGCAUUAAAGCAAUCAGAAUUUCA
This is a long non-coding RNA of Columba livia (rock pigeon), 3501 nucleotides long. RefSeq lists it as uncharacterized. The transcript is spliced from 4 exons. NCBI's taxonomy places the organism in Eukaryota, Metazoa, Chordata, Aves, Columbiformes, Columbidae. The record is from RefSeq and is a predicted model, not a curated record.